RNAcentral lists this ribosomal RNA (490 nucleotides) under uncultured bacterium. Its description in RNAcentral is "partial 16S ribosomal RNA". It matches the Rfam family "Bacterial small subunit ribosomal RNA", at positions 30 to 507 of the family's 1533-position model. The record is from RNAcentral.
AUUGAACGCUGGCGGCAUGCUUUACACAUGCAAGUCGGACGGCAGCACAGAGAAGCUUGCUUCUUGGGUGGCGAGUGGCGAACGGGUGAGUCACAUAUCGGAACGUACCGAGCAGUGGGGGAUAACUAAUCGAAAGAUUAGCUAAUACCGCAUAUUUUCUGAGGAAGAAAGCAGGGGACCUUUGGGCCUUGCGCUGUUUGAGCGGCCGAUAUCUGAUUAGCUAGUUGGUGGGGUAAAGGCCUACCAAGGCGACGAUCAGUAGCGGGUCUGAGAGGAUGAUCGGCCACACUGGGACUGAGACACGGCCCAGACUCCUACGGGAGGCAGCAGUGGGGAAUUUUGGACAAUGGGCGAAAGCCUGAUCCAGCAAUGCCGCGUGUAUGAAGAAGGCCUUCGGGUUGUAAAGGACUGUUGUCAGGGAAGAAAAGGGCGGGGUUAAUACCCCUGUCUGAUGACGGUACCUGAAGAAUAAGCACCGGCUAACUACGUG